This 253-nucleotide ribosomal RNA is filed under the name uncultured bacterium. RNAcentral describes it as "partial 16S ribosomal RNA". It matches the Rfam family "Bacterial small subunit ribosomal RNA", at positions 524 to 776 of the family's 1533-position model. The record is from RNAcentral.
UACGUAGGGUGCAAGCGUUGUCCGGAAUUACUGGGCGUAAAGGGCUCGUAGGCGGCCAACUAAGUCAGACGUGAAAUCCCUCGGCUUAACCGGGGAACUGCGUCUGAUACUGGAUGGCUGGAGUUUGGGAGAGGGAUGCGGAAUUCCAGGUGUAGCGGUGAAAUGCGUAGAUAUCUGGAGGAACACCGGUGGCGAAGGCGGCAUCCUGGACCAAUACUGACGCUGAGGAGCGAAAGCCAGGGGAGCAAACGGG